GCGAGUGUGGCCGAGUGGUCUAAGGCGGUCGACUUAAGUACCUUGCAGUAUUAAUACUCGACUGGGCAAUCGCCCUCGCGCGUUCGAACCGCGUCGCUCGCA
Molecule: non-coding RNA, 102 nt
Organism: Penicillium oxalicum 114-2
Lineage: Eukaryota; Fungi; Ascomycota; Eurotiomycetes; Eurotiales; Aspergillaceae
Source: Rfam